GGUGGUGCAAUACAGUUUAACAACAGCAAAGCCCUGGCGACUGGGGUGCCAACAGUUCAAGCAUGCAUUGUAGCAUUUUUCUUCACUGUUGAGCAGAGAUACAAGGAAGGGGUCAAGGAAGGCUUGUUUUUAAUAUUUAUGAAUUUAGAGACACAGAAUUGGUGAAAAUGGUGUCCUGCAAGAAGAAAGCACGCUUAGAGCCCUCUGUGCCAACUCUCCAACAUGGAUUUCUGAGGAUUUCCAGUGAGUUCUUACAGUCCAGAGCGCAAAUGGUGUGAGUCGCAAGGCCUAUUGAUUAUGUGUCAGGCCCUUCGGUGUCGGUGAUCAAUAAGACUAAUGUGUAGAAAAAUGGACAGCAUUUGCUCAAUCAUCUUAAGAACCACAUCUUUCAAUGUCUUAUUUUGGGCAGCACUUCUUUCUCCUUGGGAGCAGUAUGAAGGAACAAGAGAUCAACUCGGGCAAGAACAAAGAUUUUUCAGGUCCAGCGAUCCAUAUCAUGGAAGAUCAUUUUGGAUGCUUCUUGAAAUCCUCUCCCUUCAAAGUCUUUCAGAUUUGCAGAUUUGUGUAUCAAUAGGCCUGAGACCUAAUCUGCUCCUAAACAUUUCUUGAGUCCUGCUACCCCAUAAAAUGGCGAGUGUUUUAAUCCCUACAACUUGCCAUUGCAACUUCCUUUGACAUGUAUGCAAGACCAACCGUGUGGAUGAGGAUUGCGAUGUGCAAGUCUCUUCUCACCAGGCUGAUGUUUUCCUCGUGACGGUUCACGAUUGCUAAGGCAGAAGAUACAAAAACAAGUCCAUGACUUGUGCGGCUCUCUUUCUCUCCUUAAGGAGACGAGGCAAGGUUUUAAUUAUUCAUGCCCCUUUCUUUUCAUGUUGUUCCCAGGUUUA
Sceloporus undulatus (fence lizard) is the source of this 887-nucleotide long non-coding RNA. RefSeq lists it as uncharacterized. NCBI's taxonomy places the organism in Eukaryota, Metazoa, Chordata, Lepidosauria, Squamata, Phrynosomatidae. The transcript has 3 exons. The record is from RefSeq and is a predicted model, not a curated record.